This 498-nucleotide ribosomal RNA is filed under the name uncultured Gammaproteobacteria bacterium. RNAcentral's name for it is "partial 16S ribosomal RNA". The record is from RNAcentral. Lineage: Bacteria; Pseudomonadati; Pseudomonadota; Gammaproteobacteria.
UUACCGCGGCUGCUGGCACGUAGUUAGCCGGGGCUUCCUCCUAUGGUACCGUCAUUAUCUUCCCAUAGGACAGAGCUUUACGACCCGAAGGCCUUCAUCGCUCACGCGGCGUUGCUGCAUCAGGCUUUCGCCCAUUGUGCAAUAUUCCCCACUGCUGCCUCCCGUAGGAGUCUGGACCGUGUCUCAGUUCCAGUGUGGCCGAUCACCCUCUCAGGUCGGCUACUGAUCGUUGCCUUGGUAGGCCGUUACCCUACCAACUAGCUAAUCCGACAUAGGCUCAUCCGAUAGCGCAAGGUCCGAAGAUCCCCUGCUUUCUCCCGUAGGACGUAUGCGGUAUUAGCCUGGGUUUCCCCAGGUUAUCCCCCACUAUCGGGCAGAUUCCUAUGCAUUACUCACCCGUCCGCCGCUCGACGCCUGGAAGCAAGCUUCCAUCGUUUCCGCUCGACUUGCAUGUGUUAGGCCUGCCGCCAGCGUUCAAUCUGAGCCAUGAUCAAACUC